RNAcentral lists this ribosomal RNA (1200 nucleotides) under Triticum aestivum (bread wheat). RNAcentral's name for it is "partial small subunit ribosomal RNA". Lineage: Eukaryota; Viridiplantae; Streptophyta; Magnoliopsida; Poales; Poaceae. The record is from RNAcentral.
AUGACCAAGCAGAGCUUGCAACACUCUCGGUGUGUCGCCCCCGUGUGGCUCAAAGCUAUUUUGGCCAACUGCCGACAGGACGUAGUAGCUCAACAACGCAUAACUAAACUAGCACUGCAAGCAGACUGUGAAGAAGGAUUUGCCCUUAAGGGCGGUGUGAUUAGAUUUAACGAUCGUAUCUGGAUUGGAGAUGACCCAGAAAUACAAACAUCACUGAUCAAAGCACUUCAUGACAGUGCAAUAGGGGGUCACUCCGGAUUUCACGCGACGUACAACCGGGUGAAACGUCUGUUUGCUUGGAAAGGGAUGAAGGACAUGGUCAAGAAGUGGGUGCACGAAUGCAGCAUCUAUUUCAUCAAGGGGUUGCCUAAGUCUAGUGGAUAUGAUGUGAUAAUGGUGGUCGUGGAUAAAUUUUCAAAGUAUGCCCAUUUCGUGCCAAUGAAACAUACCUUCACAACCUUGACAGUGGCUACCUUGUUCAUGGAUCACAUCUUCGGGUUGCAUGGCCUGCCAUUGGCAUUGAUUUUCGACACGGAUCGCAUCUUCACCAGCACACUAUGGCAAGAGUUGUUCAGGGUAUCCAAAACACAACUGCGUAUGAGUUCUUCAUACCAUCCGCAAAUGGAUGGCCAGACAGAACGCGUUAACCAAUGCCUUGAAACAUAUCACCGAUGCUCAGUACAUGCCUGCCCAAAAAAUUGGCUCAAGUGGUUAUUUCUCACAGAAUAUUGGUACAACACGACCUUCCACUCUGCGCUGGGGAGAACUCCGUUUGAAGUCAUCUACGGGACACUACCGUGGGAAUUUGGAGUUACACAGGUGGAUGAAUGUUCUGUUCCUGAUUUGGAGAGUUGGCUCCGAGAGCGAGAGGUCAUGCGGGAGCUGCUGCAACAGCAACUGAAGCGCGCCCAAGAUCGUAUGAAGGAGCAAGCAGAUAAGCACUGCACUGAUAGAGAGUUUCAGGUUGGCGACAUGGGAAGAGCUGCCACAAUCUCUGGCUACUUGGGAAGACCCAAUGCAUCUGCGACAGCAGUUUCCGGCAUCACCGGCUUGGGGCAAGCCAGGUCCCAAGGGGGGGGGGAGAAUGUCACGAUUGACAAGGCUAGUCUACAGGAACAGAGUGUCAACAAGGAGGGGCCCAGUGAUCAGUCGAGCAAGGAUUGCAUGGGUGGCCAUCCCGAUGCUGGUAGCGUGUGUUAG